RNAcentral lists this ribosomal RNA (460 nucleotides) under uncultured bacterium. RNAcentral describes it as "partial 16S ribosomal RNA". It matches the Rfam family "Bacterial small subunit ribosomal RNA", at positions 338 to 795 of the family's 1533-position model. The record is from RNAcentral.
CCUACGGGAGACAGCAGUGAGGAAUAUUGGUCAAUGGACGAGAGUCUGAACCAGCCAAGUAGCGUGAAGGAUGACUGCCCUAUGGGUUGUAAACUUCUUUUAUAAAGGAAUAAAACGAGGUACGUGUGCCUUUUUGCAUGUACUUUAUGAAUAAGGAUCGGCUAACUCCGUGCCAGCAGCCGCGGUAAUACGGAGGAUCCGAGCGUUAUCCGGAUUUAUUGGGUUUAAAGGGAGCGUAGAUGGGUUGUUAAGUCAGUUGUGAAAGUUUGCGGCUCAACCGUAAAAUUGCAAUUGAUACUGGCAGUCUUGAGUACAGUUGAGGUAGGCGGAAUUCGUGGUGUAGCGGUGAAAUGCUUAGAUAUCACGAAGAACCCCGAUUGCGAAGGCAGCUUACCAAACUGUGACUGACAUUGAUGCUCGAAAGUGUGGGUAUCAAACAGGAUUAGAUACCCCAGUAGUC